CACACACACACACACACAUACACCAUCUUCUACUCCCUGCUUUUCACCCCCAUUUGAUCCCUCUCAGUGGGAAAUGUAGCCUUGUUUUGGCAUCACAUUAACAAAAAGGGAUGCUUUUAAAAAGUUAAAUGGAAAAAAAGGAGACUUGGUUAGGGUCGAUUUAACUUUUUUCUAUGCUAGAGUAAAAGAAGCCAAAGUUUGCAAAGUAUAGCUAGGCCCCCAAAACUAGAUGUUUAUAGCAGCACUGCAGACAACAAAAAUUAUUCAUACCAGCUCCAGAAUUUGUUAUAUGUGAUGCAUGCUAGAAGAUUUUUUUUAAUAUAUACUAGCAUUUGUCUUUAGAUAGUAUUAUUCCUUUCAACCAAAGACUCCAGAAUUAUUUUUCAAAAGCAAACGAAUAAAAAAGUGAAAGAAAGAAAGGAAAUGGAAAAAAAGGUCACUGCUUCACACCAAAGUUUAAAUAAUUUUUCCAAAUGCAGUAGGGAGAUGGUUUUUAAAAAAAAUAGAAAGGAGUCAAUAGAGAGUAAAUUCAGAAGUUUCCCUGAGCAAAUUAUUGUCUGUGUGUUUGUUUGCGUUUUUAAGUUGGAAAAAAAAAAAAAGCUGUACCCUUAAAUAGCUCUAGUUUGGGAAAUUCAUUGAGAACAUUUCUCUAGAUAUGUGCAAUAUUUAGACAUCAAUUUUUAACUUGAUUUAGGAAGUAUGUUUGUGAUAAACAUCCAAAACGAUGAAAAACAAAAUUUUAUUUUGAGUUCUAAAGCGAAAUGCCACUCCCUGUUAGAUCCCCUCCAUCUGACGCCAUACCCCUGUCACUCACCAUUUGAAUCAAGUCAGCAUUUCCAUCAGUUUGUCCCAUUUUAUGUUUUGGUUCAGUGAUUACGAGUCCACACACAUUCGUUUUAGACACAAUCCACGCAAAUGAAGCUACCUAUAAUUUAAAUUCCAUGCCACUUACAAUUUUUCUUUGCAUGGGUGUUUAAAUAGUUCUGUUAUGGAAUUGUUCCUGCGUAGUUCUGAACUGUCCUUUUAUAAGAAGUGAUGGUCCCGUGUCUUCACAACGUAGUGAUUAUCAGCCUUACAAUGACCUUGUAGCCUUUCUGAACACACACAUCCUGCUCACUCCCCAACAGCUAGAAAAAUGCAAAGCACUAGCGGGACUCACUGCAUCCGUUUUCACGUCUUUCUAACAUCAGGACUUCUAAAAUCUCUGGGAUACACGCGGUAGUCAAAUUCAAAAGAGGAUUAUCAAUGAAUAGCACAUAAGAAUUAUUUUCAUGAAUUUCAACUAAUUGCAGCCAGUUUCAGCAUGUAAAUAUAUACUAAUGUUGGCUAGUGUGUAAUUCUUGAGCUAAGAAAUAUAAAUAAAAAUUAAAAGUUC
This 1375-nucleotide long non-coding RNA is filed under the name Rattus norvegicus (Norway rat). Its description in RNAcentral is "long non-coding RNA NONRATT004175". Lineage: Eukaryota; Metazoa; Chordata; Mammalia; Rodentia; Muridae. The record is from RNAcentral.